UGAACCUGAAACCGUUACGGGGGAAGCGGAUCGCGUUGGAUUGGUGGGCGCUUGUGUGUUCAGCCUUCGGGUGCAUUGGCACAAGUGCUUAUCCGCUGUGAGUUUUCGGGGGUCGAUUUUGGACCCCUGGGGACUGAGGGCUCCCCUUUUUGGGUGAGGACAGCGGAGUGACGACGCGAUACGACCCGUCUUGAAACACGGACCAAGGAGUCUAGCGCGGGUGCGAGUCAAAGGGUGCAAGCCCGUGGGCGAAGUGAAAGCGAGUUUAAAAACGAGCAGUUUGGGGCGGCAUAAGAUCGUUGAUCUUAAGACUGACCCAGAGCAGUUGCGCUGGGACCCGAAAGGUGGUGAACUAUGCCUGAGUAGGGCAAAGCCAGAGGAAACUCUGGUGGAGGCUCGUAGCGGUGCUGACGUGCAAAUCGCUCGUCGAACUUGGGUAUAGGGGCGAAAGACUAAUCGAACCAUCUAGUAGCUGGUUCCCUCCGAAGUUUCUCUCAGGAUAGCGGGCCGACAAGUUGUUUUGUGCGGUAAAGCGAAUGAUUAGCGCACUUGGGGGCGUUUAGCCUUCAGGCGAUUCUCAAACUUUCAAUGCGCAAGGGUGCCGCUGCUUAAUUGAGCGGUACCGGUAAAAACGUCGACCCAGUGGGCCACUUUUGGUAAGCAGAACUGGCGAUACGGGAUGAACCGUAAGCAAGGUUAAGGCGCCAAACUGCCCGCUUAUAGACCCCACAAAAGGUGUUGAUUCAUCGAGACAGCAGGACGGUGGCCAUGGAAGUCGGAAUCCGCCAAGGAGUGUGUAACAACUCACCUGCCGAAUGAAUUAGCCCUGAAAAUGGAUGGCGCUGAAGCGGGCGGCCGACACCUUGCCGUUUGAACAAGAAUUUCAGAUGAGUAGGAGGACGUGGUG
RNAcentral lists this ribosomal RNA (907 nucleotides) under Ahnfeltiopsis linearis. RNAcentral's name for it is "LSU rRNA". It matches the Rfam family "Eukaryotic large subunit ribosomal RNA", at positions 394 to 1396 of the family's 3401-position model. The record is from RNAcentral. Lineage: Eukaryota; Rhodophyta; Florideophyceae; Gigartinales; Phyllophoraceae.